This 399-nucleotide ribosomal RNA is filed under the name Triticum aestivum (bread wheat). RNAcentral describes it as "partial small subunit ribosomal RNA". Lineage: Eukaryota; Viridiplantae; Streptophyta; Magnoliopsida; Poales; Poaceae. The record is from RNAcentral.
AUGGUAUUGUCAAAAAAAAAACGUCUUAAGACAGAGGGAGUAGCAUAUAUCAAGGCAGACAAUGUUAAUUGCGUUUAUCUCUCUGCCUCAAGAACGAUGACUUUCCUUAGCAGCCUCCUCCGCCCCCGCCGUCGCCUCCCCCGCCACCACCACCGUCGCCUCCGCCCCCACCGUCCCCAUAUCCGUCGCCGUCAUCCCCUCCGCCGCCGCCAUCGUCUCCGCCUCCGCGACGACGUUUGCGCUUCUUAUCCGCGGGACGCUUCUUGUGGCCGGCGCAGCCAAACACGGCGAUGGCCACGAUUGCAACCGCAGCCACAAAGCCGAAAGCUAGACCCACAACGUUGCUGGGCGCGUAGUGCACCGAGCCAGCAGCGAGACCCAACGCCCGCACCAUCGUAG